GCAGGCGCGAAACCUUUACACUGCACGACAGUGCGAUAGGGGGAUCCCAAGUGCACAGGCAUAGCGCCUGUGCUUUUCGGUACCCUAAGGCGGUACCAGAAUAAGGGCUGGGCAAGACCGGUGCCAGCCGCCGCGGUAAUACCGGCAGCCCAAGUGAUGGCCGAUCUUAUUGGGCCUAAAGCGUCCGUAGCUGGCCGUACAAGUCCAUCGGGAAAUCCACCUGCUCAACAGGUGGGCGCCCGGUAGAAACUGUGCGGCUUGGGACCGGAAGGCGCGACGGGUACGUCCGGGGUAGGAGUGAAAUCCCGUAAUCCUGGACGGACCGCCGAUGGCGAAAGCACGUCGCGAGAACGGAUCCGACAGUGAGGGACGAAAGCCAGGGUCUCGAACCGGAUUAGAUACCCGGGUAGUCCUGGCCGUAAACAAUGUCUGCUAGGUGUGGCUCCCACUACGAGUGGGUGCUGUGCCGUAGGGAAGCCGCUAAGCAGACCGCCUGGGAAGUACGUCCGCAAGGAUGAAACUUAAAGGAAUUGGCGGGGGAGCACUACAACCGGAGGAGCCUGUGGUUUAAUUGGAUUCAACGCCGG
This 587-nucleotide ribosomal RNA is filed under the name uncultured haloarchaeon. RNAcentral describes it as "bacterial SSU rRNA". It matches the Rfam family "Archaeal small subunit ribosomal RNA", at positions 335 to 921 of the family's 1478-position model. The record is from RNAcentral. Lineage: Archaea; Methanobacteriati; Methanobacteriota; Halobacteria; Halobacteriales; Halobacteriaceae.